CCGAGCCAGCGGGAUCUGGUCGUGCACGAUCACGCAAGAGAAUGUCCCACGGUGCGCGGGCUGCACCGGCCGGAUCCGCGCCAGGUCAUGAUCUCAGGGUUGUGAGAUCAAACCCUGCGUUGGGCUCUGCACUCAACACGGAUUCUGCUUGGGAUUCUCUCUCUCCCUUGGCCCCUUCCGGUGCUCUCUGUCUGAACUGUGUCCCUCCCAAACUCAUAAUGUUGAAGCCCUAACCCCCAGGACCUCAGAAUGUGACUGUACUUGGAUAUACAGCCUUAAAGAGGUAAUUAAGUUAUAAUUAGGCCAUUAGGGUGGGCCCUGAUCCAGUGUGACUGAUUGCCCUAUAAGAGGAGAUCUGGACACUGACACACCGAGGGGAGAACAUGUGAAGACACAGGAGAGAGAGAAGAUGGACAUCUACAAGCCAGAGAGAAAGGCCUGAGAAGGAACCAACCCUGCUUCAUCUUGGACUUCUAGCCUUCAGAAUUGUGAACAAAUACAUUUCUACCUUUUAAGCAA
Molecule: long non-coding RNA, 519 nt
Organism: Neogale vison (American mink)
Lineage: Eukaryota; Metazoa; Chordata; Mammalia; Carnivora; Mustelidae
Exons: 2
Source: RefSeq, a predicted model, not a curated record